AACGAACGCUGGCGGCAUGCCUAACACAUGCAAGUCGAACGAGACCUUCGUGACAAGUUGCUCACGGGGGCGUAACGCGUGGGAACCGGCCCUUAGGUUCGGAAUAACUCCCCGACGGGGGGGCUAACGCCGGGAAAUGUACGCGGACCCAAGAUUUACCGCCGUGGGAUGGGCACGCGUUGGUUUAGCUAGGUGGGAGGGUAAGAGCCUAUGAAGGCGACGCUCCAUAGCUGGUCUGAGAGAAUGAUCAGCGACACUGGGGCGGAGACACGGUCCAGUAUCCUACGCAAGGCAGCAGUGGGGAAUAUUGGACAACGGGGGAAGGCCUGAUCCAGCAAUGCCUCGUGAGUCAUGAAGGUCUUAGAGUUGUAAAGCUCUUUUACCCGCGAUGAUAAUGACAGUACCGGGAGAAUAAGCACCGGCUAACUCCGUG
Molecule: ribosomal RNA, 433 nt
Filed under: uncultured bacterium
Lineage: Bacteria
Description: partial 16S ribosomal RNA
Rfam family: Bacterial small subunit ribosomal RNA
Source: RNAcentral